Ceratotherium simum simum (southern white rhinoceros) is the source of this 65-nucleotide non-coding RNA. NCBI's taxonomy places the organism in Eukaryota, Metazoa, Chordata, Mammalia, Perissodactyla, Rhinocerotidae. The record is from RefSeq and is a predicted model, not a curated record.
UCUUGGUGAAUGUUGGACAUGAGCUUGAGAAGAAUCUGUAUUCUACUGUGUGUAGAAUUUGAAAU